RNAcentral lists this ribosomal RNA (425 nucleotides) under uncultured bacterium. Its description in RNAcentral is "bacterial SSU rRNA". It matches the Rfam family "Bacterial small subunit ribosomal RNA", at positions 354 to 796 of the family's 1533-position model. The record is from RNAcentral.
GUGGGGAAUCUUAGACAAUGGGCGCAAGCCUGAUCUAGCCAUGCCGCGUGAGUGAUGAAGGCCCUAGGGUUGUAAAGCUCUUUCAGCUGGGAAGAUAAUGACGGUACCAGCAGAAGAAGCCCCGGCUAACUCCGUGCCAGCAGCCGCGGUAAUACGGAGGGGGCUAGCGUUGUUCGGAAUUACUGGGCGUAAAGCGCGCGUAGGCGGACUGAAAAGUUGGGGGUGAAAUCCCGGGGCUCAACCUCGGAACUGCCUUCAAAACUAUCAGUCUGGAGUUCGAGAGAGGUGAGUGGAAUUCCGAGUGUAGAGGUGAAAUUCGUAGAUAUUCGGAGGAACACCAGUGGCGAAGGCGGCUCACUGGCUCGAUACUGACGCUGAGGUGCGAAAGCGUGGGGAGCAAACAGGAUUAGAUACCCCUGUAGUCC